CCUACGGGAGGCAGCAGUGGGGAAUAUUGCACAAUGGGCGAAAGCCUGAUGCAGCGACGCCGCGUGAGGGAUGACGGCCUUCGGGUUGUAAACCUCUUUCAGCAGGGAAGAAGCGAAAGUGACGGUACCUGCAGAAGAAGCGCCGGCUAACUACGUGCCAGCAGCCGCGGUAAUACGUAGGGCGCAAGCGUUGUCCGGAAUUAUUGGGUGUAAAGAGCUCGUAGGCGGCUUGUCACGUCGGGUGUGAAAGCCCGGGGCUUAACCCCGGGUCUGCAUUCGAUACGGGCUAGCUAGAGUGUGGUAGGGGAGGUCGGAAUUCCUGGUGUAGCGGUGAAAUGCGCAGAUAUCAGGAGGAACACCGGUGGCGAAGGCGGAUCUCUGGGCCAUUACUGACGCUGAGGAGCGAAAGCGUGGGGAGCGAACAGGAUUAGAUACCCUGGUAGUCCACGCCGUAAACGGUGGGAACUAGGUGUUGGCGACAUUCCACGUCGUCGGUGCCGCAGCUAACGCAUUAAGUUCCCCGCCUGGGGAGUACGGCCGCAAGGCUAAAACUACAANAUAUGCGNGNGAGNGCGACGACGACGACGACGGAGGAG
RNAcentral lists this ribosomal RNA (596 nucleotides) under uncultured bacterium. RNAcentral describes it as "bacterial SSU rRNA". It matches the Rfam family "Bacterial small subunit ribosomal RNA", at positions 338 to 943 of the family's 1533-position model. The record is from RNAcentral.